AUGGUACAUUUAUCACGUGGAAUCGAUGAAUUUCGGUGGAAUCUAAACACGAGUGGUGAAUUCUCGGUAGAUUCAAUGUAUAGAGAGUUGAUCCAAUCUGAUGUGUCAGUUGAUAAUAAUAAGAAGAAGAUCUGGAAGAUGAAGAUACCGCUUAAGAAUAAAAUCUUUAUGUGGUAUCUUCGUCGAGGAGUCAUUAUUAUUAAAGAUAACCUUAUUAAGAGGAAUUAGCAUGGAAGUAUGCAAUGUGUCUUUUGUCAUCACGACGAAACAAUAAAACACUUGUUCUUCCAUUGUAAAUUAGCUUGUUCUAUAUGA
Molecule: ribosomal RNA, 315 nt
Filed under: Triticum aestivum (bread wheat)
Lineage: Eukaryota; Viridiplantae; Streptophyta; Magnoliopsida; Poales; Poaceae
Description: partial small subunit ribosomal RNA
Source: RNAcentral